RNAcentral lists this long non-coding RNA (988 nucleotides) under Bos indicus x Bos taurus (hybrid cattle). RNAcentral describes it as "lncRNA (ENSBIXG00005005935.1)". The record is from RNAcentral. Lineage: Eukaryota; Metazoa; Chordata; Mammalia; Artiodactyla; Bovidae.
CUUCCGUGUUUUAAUAUUUUUCCGAUGACCUUCCCUAGGAGAUUUCUUAAGGGCAGGUGUUUUUUUCCUUAAGCCCCUCAGGCCUUGUGAAUGUUAAGUGCCCAGGAGCAUUGAUUUCCAAGUUGUUGUUAUGGGAAAUGGCCACAAGGUGGCAGCAUGUCUUUAUGCCCAACUCUGGUUGCUGAGGGAACCAGCUGUUGCUGCUGCUAAGUCGCUUCAGUCGUGUCAGACUCUGUGCGACCCCAUAGACGGCAGCCCACCAGACUCCGCCGUCCCUGGGAUUCUCCGGGCAAGAACACUGGAGUGGGUUGCCAUUUCCUUCUCCAGUGCAUGAAAGUGAAAAGUGAAAGUGAAGUCGCACAGUCGUAUUCGACUCUUCGCGACCCCGUGGACUGCAGCCUACCAGGCUCCUCCGUCCAUGGGAUUUUCCAGACAACAGUAAUGGAGUGGGUUGCCAUCGCCUUCUCCCGAAGGAACCAGAGCCUUGGGACACUGGGCUGCACUCUGAGAAGUUCCUGGAUCUCCCCUGGACCUGACCAUCAUGUGGCCAGAGAAAUUGCCCAGCUCUCCUGUUUUCUCAGCACUUCAGCAGGACAAGAAAGACAGAGCCUGCCAGAACCAAGGCCUGUGCCUGUUUUAUUCUUUACCACCGUGAGGUUCACCUUCCCUGGGGCUCCUGGAGACUCCUCCCGUGGCUACCUGUCGACCGUCCCUCCUCAGCAGAGACCAGACCUGCCCCUCGUCUCCCAGCCCUGCGCCUGGUGUGUGUUUUGUCAACACUUCAGUGGAACAAGAAAGGACCAAGCCUGCAAGAACCAAGACUCAUCCCAACCUCGGGCACUGCUUCCUGCUGAAACGCCUAGGAGGCUGCACUCUCAAAAAAGAGAGUUCAGCUAGAGACCCCAGCACCAGGGGACCUGGAGGCCAGGUGACUUUUCAAAAGUUCUUGUGGUCAGAGGCUCAGGCUACCAUUCUUUUGAUGCACUAA